CAUUAGCGCCAAUGCAUUUAUAAAGUAGGACCAAAUAAAAAUCUUCCAGUAAGAUAUAACGUUAUAACUUAUUGCGCAAUUGCACUUGUCAGUAUAAAAUCACCAGUCACGAGUUAUCCCAAGACCCGGAGUAUCUUAAAAUCACACGAUGUACAAAUUUUUACAUGGCUUCGUGUGUCCAUAAAAAUGUAAAGCUUAAAAGAAUUUUACAUAAAUUUCUGCAACAGAAAAGAUUUUGAGGUGGUCCUCUGACAUGGUACUGUACAACUAAGAGUGUCGCGUUUUAACUGCACAUCAAUGACUCUAGAUACUUCCUCUUCGUCUGCAAGUAGCUUACAAAGAACUUCCUUUCCUCCAUUUCAUAUCAAAUCCCUAUAUCAUUUCCUAAUAAAUUCACAAACGUAGUUCAAGUGAGAUUAUUUGGUCGACUGCAUUUGCAAAUAAAAGAAAUCAGUACUCACUUAUAAGAAAUACCAGAUUUUUCACACCAGAUGGUAACAUAUUUACCAAACAAACCAAAAGGAUUCGUACAAACAAGAAAUGUCUGUAAAUGUGGCGCUUAUCGCCCAACUCCAAACAGGGUGAAAUGAUAACUGAGGCUAUUCAAUAUCUUCUUGUCAAUUUAAUUGGAAUUUUUUUGCUUAGUCUCCUUGAUCGAGCAUGCUUAUAGUAUUGUGGUGGGUAAAGAUAUAUGUACCCAUACCUAAGCUUACAAAAAGGAGUAAACAUGAAACAGAAAGGAGUAUAAAACUGCUAUGCUACUGCACAUUUAUGUUACACUGUUAGCUAUAUGAACUGAAAAAUGGCACGCCUGGGGAUGAUUUUUUUGAUAUAAUAUGUACCUGGAAAUUAAUGACAUAAUAUUCCUAGUUUUUAUGUGAAAAUCAACUAUGGCACACAAGAAUCUCAAAAAGGAUUUUACGUGAAGUAUUUACUUCAACCCCAAUAGGAGUUAUAUCUACUUUAAAUCCAAACCUAGAUAAUAGUACCUUCCGAAAUAAAAACUAUGGUAAUUCAACCAGUGAUUUUGACAAGGCAAUUAAGCUAUAAAACUGAAGACAAUUCACAAUCACAAAGGGGGAAUUCCGCAGAGGAAAAAAUAAAACACUAUGUUUUGAUGGAGUUCAUCAUCGUUCAUGACAAAAAGUAGAGCCUAGUAAUAUGGUGAGGCCUCACGGGGAUCCCUACAACAAGAAAAAUGAACUAACGAAUGAGCAGUAACAACACUAAUUGGACACAAACAGGGGCGGCGCCACCGUAUGGGCUGGUAUGGGCGGCCGCCCCGGGUAGCCGGAAUGUGUGUCCUUAAAACCCCCGCCAGUCUUGCCUCCUAGCAUACAGUGUUACAGGCCUGCACAAUGAACCGACUCGGGUGACUUGAAAUCCUAGAUCCGCCAUUGGAAACAAAUAACUUUCUUUUGGAACUGAAUAUUGGUAUCUACAUGAGAUCAAAGAAACAGUAAAAGAACUUGCCAAGAAAAUUAACAUCUACCAAAGUCCCAAAAUGCAAGUUGAAGAAAAAUUGCAAGUGGCUUGAUGCCAAGGUUGUAUCCAUGCUGGCGUUAGGAACACUAACGGGUAUAUGCACUGCAACACAAGAGUAUAAAUCACCAAUACUAAGAGAAAGCAUGCUAUGAGCAAUUUCCACAAAGUAGUACUGAAAGAAAAGAAACAAUAUGGAGAAAGAUUUGACCUUUUCGUAACAGCUGCCAACACCAUCCUGCUGCCACGCUGCCGCCUACCACCCCGCCAUCCGCAUCGUGAUGCUACUGCCUCUCCUCUGCACACCAUGCAACCAACUCGCUUGAAUCAACACAGGAACACAAAACCCCAAGUGAAAUCAAUAACACAAUCUUAACUAUAAAAAGCUCGUCAUAUUCAGGCUUGAGCUCACCUCGUGAACAGACACAUCACUGCAAAUCUACAAUUUAUCAGCUCCUUCUUAUGCAUUCAGACAACUAGUGGGCAAUAAAAAACUGUUUACCAAUGAACAUGUGUUGACGUGUUGUAGAAAUUAGAGUCUGAGGGCUGAAACACAGAAUCAGACUCUGCCUCAGAGGCUUUUUCUACCAGGUUAUCACUUGAGACAUGCCCUUUCACACCCUGAAAAUUUAAUCACACCGUAAAUUUGAAAAGACCAACAGUAUGGUACCUAAUGCGUAAUCUCCUUGCACUUGCAGUACCAAGCUGCAACUUGCUUUUUUGGAAAACCAUAACAAAAAUAAGAUUCGUUUAACCUUCUCUGAACUUUUUCUAUGUUGUCUAAAUGAUUUAACCAGGAAGAGCUCUAGCAACUAAGUAACUUAUCCUAUUCAAAUCCACUGUAUCAAAGAAUUGGACCAAACACGCAGGAAAGGAAGAAAUUGAUAGUCACGACAAUGGACAGAAAAUAAAAUUUCUGAAUCUUGUGAGGCACCUGAAGGUCAGCUGCACCAGGAAAUUAAAUGGAUAGGGUCUAGAGGUUGGCAUGACUAGUACGCUCCGGUAGCCGGCAGGGAGGCGGUGAUCGAUUCCAGCGGCUUCUGGGCUCUUGAUAUCCAGAAAUUUUACAAGGAAAUAUCCAGAACGUUUUGCAACUAUGGAUGUGCACUCAGUUAAUCCUGACCUAGCUAAAAUGAGGCCUAACAAAAUUGUGUGAACUUGAGAGAUUGGGAAGGGAUCAGAAAUCAAACAUUAC
This 2677-nucleotide long non-coding RNA is filed under the name Triticum aestivum (bread wheat). RNAcentral describes it as "long non-coding RNA (TAES_LNC014856)". The record is from RNAcentral. Lineage: Eukaryota; Viridiplantae; Streptophyta; Magnoliopsida; Poales; Poaceae.